GCUGGGAACUAAGCAAUCAAUAAGCGGAGGAAAAGAAACUAACAAGGAUUCCCCUAGUAACUGCGAGUGAAGCGGGAAAAGCUCAAAUUUAAAAUCUGGUGGUCUUUGGCCAUCCGAGUUGUAAUUUAGAGAAGCGUCUUCCGCGCUGGACCGUGCACAAGUCUCCUGGAAUGGAGCGUCACAGAGGGUGAGAAUCCCGUCUUUGGCACGGACACACCAGGGCUUUUGCGAUGCGCUCUCGAAGAGUCGAGUUGUUUGGGAAUGCAGCUCAAAAUGGGUGGUGAACUCCAUCUAAAGCUAAAUAUUGGCGAGAGACCGAUAGCGAACAAGUACCGUGAGGGAAAGAUGAAAAGCACUUUGGAAAGAGAGUGAAACAGUACGUGAAAUUGUUGAAAGGGAAACGCUUGAAGUCAGUCACGUCGACCGAGACUCAGCCUUGCCUCGGCUUGGUGUACUUCUCGGCUGACGGGUCAGCAUCAAUUUUGCCCCUCGGAUAAUGGCGAGGGAAAUGUGACACCUUUAUGGUGUGUUAUAGUCUCUCGUCGCAUGCGAGGGUUGGGAUUGAGGAACUCAGCACGCGCCUUCUGGCGUCGGGGCUUUCGCCCACGAUACGUGCUUAGGAUGUUGGCAUAAUGGCUUUAAACGACCCGUCUUGAAACACGGACCAAGGAGUCUAACAUGCCUGCGAGUGUUCGGGUGGAAAACCCGUGCGCGCAAUGAAAGUGAAAGUUGGGACCUCUGUCGUGGAGGGCACCGACGCCCGGACCAGACCUUCUGUGACGGCUCUGCGGUAAAGCAUGUAUGUUAGGACCCGAAAGAUGGUGAACUAUGCCUGAAUAGGGUGAAGCCAGAGGAAACUCUGGUGGAGGCUCGUAGCGAUUCUGACGUGCAAAUCGAUCGUCAAAUUUGGGUAUAGGGGCGAAAGACUAAUCGAACCAUCUAGUAGCUGGUUCCUGCCGAAUCCCCCCUCA
RNAcentral lists this ribosomal RNA (971 nucleotides) under Russula sp. RNAcentral describes it as "partial large subunit ribosomal RNA". It matches the Rfam family "Eukaryotic large subunit ribosomal RNA", at positions 27 to 975 of the family's 3401-position model. The record is from RNAcentral. Lineage: Eukaryota; Fungi; Basidiomycota; Agaricomycetes; Russulales; Russulaceae.